GACGAACGCUGGCGGCGUGCUUAACACAUGCAAGUCGAACGGAAAGGCCCUGCUUUUGUGGGGUGCUCGAGUGGCGAACGGGUGAGUAACACGUGAGUAACCUUCCCUUGACUUUGGGAUAACUUCAGGAAACUGGGGCUAAUACCGGAUAGGAGCUCCUGCUGCCUGGUGGGGGUUGGAAAGUUUCGGCGGUUGGGGAUGGACUCGCGGCUUAUCAGCUUGUUGGUGGGGUAGUGGCUUACCAAGUCUUUGACGGGUAGCCGGCCUGAGAGGGUGAACGGCCACAUUGGGACUGAGAGACGGCCCAGACUCCUACGGGAGGCAGCAGUGGGGAAUAUUGCACAAUGGGCGGAAGCCUGAUGCAGCAACGCCGCGUGCGUGAUGACGGCCUUCGGGUUGUAAACCGCUUUCGCCUGUGACGAAGCGUGAGUGACGGUAAUGGGUAAAGAAGCACCGGCUAACUACGUG
This 468-nucleotide ribosomal RNA is filed under the name uncultured bacterium. RNAcentral describes it as "partial 16S ribosomal RNA". It matches the Rfam family "Bacterial small subunit ribosomal RNA", at positions 28 to 507 of the family's 1533-position model. The record is from RNAcentral.